Long non-coding RNA from Lathyrus oleraceus (garden pea), 1019 nucleotides. RefSeq lists it as uncharacterized. The transcript is spliced from 2 exons. The record is from RefSeq and is a predicted model, not a curated record. Lineage: Eukaryota; Viridiplantae; Streptophyta; Magnoliopsida; Fabales; Fabaceae.
UUGGCCCAUGCAGAUCUGGGGGGUGUAUGCUAUGAAGGAAGUGUGAGGUGAAACAAAUCCAACGGGCCUCAGAACCUCAGGCCCAAAACAAAGUUGACAAGAGCGGGGGAAGACGCAACUUAUCUCACUCUCGUUCAAAACUUCCCCGCCUCUAAACGAACCCUAGUCGUUCAUCUUCCGCGCCAGAAAUCGCUUCUGGCAGCGGUGAAGCUUCAAUGGACCUUAACCUUACACCAAAAUGAUCGCCACUCUCUGCUCUGUUAAAUCCCCAAUCUAAUUUCAUCCAAAUCCUCAUUAGUAAACCAAAUCGAAGCCCACAGUGGAUGAACCCUAAGCGCUUUCGAACUCAAAUCGUAUGUUAAACAAGCUCAAUCCUGACUCGCAAACAUAUGUUCAUGGAAUUUCUAUGCUAGUACGAUCGUUUGGUAGAAGAACAAAAUAAGAUGGAGGAAAGAUGGAUAACCGGCCUUCGAAGCCGUUGAUUGCUCCAGUCAAUGUUGCAAGUCUUUGAAAGUGAAAAUCAAACAAGAAUUUCAGAGAUCUCCACUAAGGCAACCAAACUGAAUCCUUUCAUGCACGUGCUACACUUCUUCUACUUCUACUUGCCUUAGUCCGUAGGAAUUUCUUGUGUGCGUUGUUGUGAAUUGUAUGUGGCUUGCGUCUAGUGCAUAAUCCGAGAGCUUGAAAUUGGUGGAGAGUGAGAGAUUUUGAUGAAGAGAAAUAUGAGAUUUGAGAUGCAGAGAGAGGGAAUUGACGUACGAAUCUAUGAAGUUGUAAUGGUGGCAAGGUUCUAGGACAUGGACCGAAGUUGGCCUUGAAACAAAUGAUUCAAGAAGGCUUGAUCAAGGAACCAAACUUGGCAUAACAUGGAUCUAUAUAUAUGUUUGGAAUACUCUUGAAGAAAAUGGAGGACUACAUGGGAAAUCAAGAGAAAAGUAGGUUUAGAUGAUUGUAGCAAUAAAUUCAUGACCAUUAAGUUAUGGAUAAACUUAACGAUAAUAAAAUCAGAGUCGCCACCA